This is an RNA transcript of Xenopus laevis (African clawed frog), 6852 nucleotides long. It is a transcript of the gene named ubiquitin specific peptidase 53 L homeolog, with no coding region annotated. The transcript has 16 exons. Lineage: Eukaryota; Metazoa; Chordata; Amphibia; Anura; Pipidae. The record is from RefSeq and is a predicted model, not a curated record.
GUGCGCACAAUUACGAUCCCCCGAUACGUCACGCACAGGUGAGCUUCCGGCACAGUAACUUUCGCUAUGCACCUGAUUGGAAGCGUUCAGUCCUACACAAGGGCCGUACUGAAGAGCGUGUAACUGUGGCAGAACAGUCGAGGAUCAGGUCCUUCCACGAAUCCUAAUAAUUAAUCGUUUGAUAUGAUGACAUACGCAACUGGAAAGCACGCGCCAUUGAACGUUGCGCGUGCACGCUUGCGGUGCCUCCCAGUUUAGCACCAAGCCACACCCCUUCCUCCUCCUCCAGACGUCCAAUUCCUUCUCUCCCUAAUGCCCAGAACGCGUAGAACUGAUACGGUGCGAUCGGGAAUCUACCAUACUUACAGCAGGGGGGGACGUGAAAAGCCGCAGUUCUUGGAUCCUGAUCGUAAGGGAAUAGCGGACAGAGAGAGGGGGAAAUGGGUCCUCUAACAGUGGCCGGAGUGUGAUUAUUGUUCACUGUCUACCUGUUGUGCCUUCUUGUUUGCUUGGAGACCGGCUAGGAUUACAGCACUGGGGUCGGCGAGCAUGGCCUGGGUGAAGCUUUUUCGGCGUCAGGCAGGAGGGAACCUGGGAAAAGUGUACCAGCCUGGCAGCGUCCUCUCUCUGGCACCGACCAAGGGCCUGUUCAAUGAGCCCGGGCAGAACAGCUGUUUCCUGAACAGCGCCGUGCAGGUGCUGUGGCAGCUGGACAUUUUUCGACGCAGUUUACGCGGACUCACUGGACACGUUUGCUUAGGAGACGCCUGUAUAUUUUGUGCAUUAAAGUCCAUAUUUGCACAGUUUCAAACAAGCCGAGAGAAGGUUCUUCCAUCAGAUGCUAUGAGACAUGCCCUUGCAGAAAGCUUCAAAGAUGAGCAUCGCUUUCAGCUUGGCCUUAUGGAUGAUGCUGCUGAAUGUUUUGAAAACAUAUUGCAGCGGAUUCAUUUCCAUAUUGUGCCAAACAGUGAAGGCGAUAUGUGCACUUCAAAAUCUUGUAUCACCCAUCAGAAGUUUGCAAUGACUCUUUACGAACAGAGUGUUUGUCGCAGUUGUGGAGCCUCCUCUGACCCAUUACCUUUUACAGAGUUUGUGAGAUAUAUUUCUACAACAGCGCUUUGUAAUGAAGUUGACAGAAUGCUGGAAAGGCAUGAACGCUUGAAGCCAGAAAUGUUUGCUGAUUUACUUCAGGCUGCUAACACCACAGAUGAUUAUAGGAAGUGUCCGAGUAACUGUGGCCAGAAAAUUAAAAUCCGCCGUGUGCUUAUGAACUGCCCAGAAAUUGUUACUAUUGGCCUGGUUUGGGAUUCCGAUAACUCAGACUUAACUGAAGAUGUUGUACGAAAUUUGGCUACUCAACUUUAUUUACCUGGGCUGUUUUUUAGGGUUACUGAUGAGCAAGCCAAAGAAAGUAGACUUUACCUAGUGGGUAUGAUCUGCUACACGAGUAAACACUACUGUGCCUUUGCCUAUCACACAAAGAGUGCCAAGUGGUUUUUGUUUGAUGAUGCAUCCGUAAAAGAGGUUGGAACAAAGUGGAAAGAUGUGGUCACCAAGUGCAUUCGGUGUCACUACCAGCCUUUGCUUCUGUUUUAUGCAAAUCCUGAUGGCACAGCAGUAACAAAUGAGGAUGCACUGAGGCAGGUUCAGCAUUGGUCUCACUGUAAGAGAGAGUUUCAUAAUGAGGAGACAGGUAGUGAAAGAAAAUCCUCUGUGCCAAAGAAGCCAGAUUACACCAGAGAUCAUGAGUUUAUUGAACAUAUAUAUCAGAACAAUGGCUACAAAUUCCAUAUGGAUGAAUCGGCUUUUACUAGAGGAGUUGUUAAUUCGAGUGCUGGCAGAGGGCCUGUUAAACUAAAUCGUAAUGAACAACAGGAGAAACUGAGGGAUGUUUCCAGAGAAUGUGCACAGAAAGCAAACCUGAAAAACGUAUCGUCUUCACAAAGAAAAGUUACAGAGAAAACACAGAAGAAAGAAACCUCCAGACCUAAGGAAUUGUCAGGAGAAAUGGCAUACCAAUCAAAGCCCUGUACAGUAGUGCAUCUCAAGUCUGAAUCCUCCCCCACUAUUAAUGGCUUUAGGAAGUAUCCUGAUCCACAUUUUUACAGCAGUCAGGGAAGAGGUCCGUACAAGCAAGAGAGACCCAUGAAUCAGUCAAGACAAACUUCUUCUUUUAAUGCAGGACAUGCCACAAUUCCUGAAACCAAGCAAGUGGCCAGGGUGAAAAAUAACUUAUCAGCUGGUUAUGAUACAGACAGCAGUCAGGAAUACAGAGAAAAACCAAACUCCAGGAACAAAAAAACUUGGAGGCCUAUGCGAGAGACACUCAAUGUGGACAGCAUUUUCAGUGACAAUGAGAAAAGUCAACAUAGCCCCAGACAUUUAGUAGGCUCAAAUGGAAAACAGUGUGCCAAGGACCAUAGUUUUAACCCUCCAUCAAAAGAAAGUCCAAAGCUUAAUACUCUGAUGACUAUCUUUGAGGAUGAGAUAAAACAGGAAUCUGGAAGCAGGAGUUCCUUGGAAUCUUUAGGAAAAAGUCAAGGAGAAAGGAAUAAAGUUACUCCAGAUAUGCAGAUAUACCAUCUUGACAACUGGCAGAGAACUGAAUCUGGAUAUGAAAGUAGUGAUCACAUCAGCAGUGGGUCAAGCAAUCUGGAUUCUCCUAUUAUUGAAGGAACUGGUUUUGCUGAUGGAAAGGGCUUGCAAGAAACCAGCCUGUGCAGUGAUCAGCAACAGUCAACAAAUGCAUUGUCUACCUCACCACAAACAAGAAGUCAUCUAAAUGGUGCAAACAAAGAACACCAUGGUCUGGAGCUUUGGAAAUCUGAAGAUCGACUUUCUAUAGUUCCCCAGGAACCUGCACGCAGCCCAUCAGGUCUAAGGAAGCAGUUUGUUGAAUUGAGAAGAGACCUACGCUCACCAAACCUGUUGCCAGCAUCCAGUGAGGAUGUUAAGGAGGCCUUUAUGAGUAAGUCAGAUGAUAGUCUGGAAUGUUCUAGCUGGUUGAAUUCAUGCUCUUCAGACAAUUGUCAUUUGCAACAUGAAAAUAUUCAUUCGCUGCGAGAGACUUCAGUGGGCCCAGCAAAAAUGGUGAAUAAUGGAUUGUGUUCACAGAGACCGUAUGUUUCAGCAACAGGGUCUCUAGCUAAAACCUCUUCACAGCCAGCCUCUCAGAGCAACAAGCUGCACUACGUGAAUUCUCAGUUUUUCAUAUUCGGUGAGGAUCAGUCAUGCAGCAGAGAUGAACACUGCUCCAUAGAUCAUCCUGAAGCACCUCCUCCUCCUCUGCCCCCGAAAAAAUAUAUAAGAAAUGCGGCGCAAAGAACUGAACAAAACUUUGCAUUAACGAUCAACAGUAAGCUUUCUGAAACAUUAGCACGUGCUUAUCCUGCAAUCUCCGAGAGACAUUUAUCUGGGGAUUACAUCAGGUCUGAGCCUGAUAGUGGCUAUUAUCCAAAGGAUGAAUCCUUUCAUGGUACUGAAAUUCAUAUAAAGACCUCUAACCUGGCUGGUUCCUCCUCUUAUGACUGUCAGCAAAAGGUGAACCAGCACACUAUGGGUAGAGAUGUUUCUCCGAAUAUAAAUGAUCCCAUUGCACCCACUACUUACUUUUCAGUUGACAACUGUAUGACGGACACGUACAGGAUGAAAUAUCAUCACAGGCCCAGGCUGAACAUGGGAGACCAUUCUGGAUAUAAGAGAGAACCUGGUCACCUACAGCUAACCGAUAAAUUAAUGGAACCAGCUUACCACAGAACUCUAGAAAAUGCUCACACUUCACGUUCCAAACAAACUUUGGGAGGCAUACCCUGUAAUCGGUAGUCUGAUUUGUUUUGUUUUUUUAAUUUAUUCCAGAAUCAUUUCUAUACAUGUUUUACUUUUGUAUAAUACAGAGUGUACACUCAAACUGCAGAGCUUUGAGCUUUUUCAGAAUCUUUUAGUAUGUUUACAGUAACAAUCUAAGCAAACGUGUAAUCUGUCUUUCAACGUUUGGCUUUUAUCUUCCUUUCUAUCGGAACUUUAUGCCAGCUGGCGCAGUAUAGUUUCUAGUGUCGCAUCAUGGACCCUAGCAACCAGGAACAGGGCAGAAAUUACAUUUAGAUUUAUAGGUUUAAUUACUAUUAUUUUUAUUACUUUGUUUUUAAAUCAGACUUGGAGGGUGUGAAGAAAAAGGCCAAGAUAACAUGCUGACCGUUUAUGUUUAGGUAAACAUCUCCUUUCUUUCCUGCUAGUCUCUGUCUAUUGGAGUUUUAAGACAGGUUCUUAAACCAAAGCGUGCGUGUGCGGGGAAGGGUGGGGUUAAAACUGUAUAUUUUAUUAACAAGAAAUGUUUUAUAACAGUGUAUAAAAUUUGUAUAUUUUCAUGGCAACAGAGAAUCUCGGCAGUAUAUUGCAAAGCUGUUUCGUUAUUUAAAAGUAGAACUUACUUUUUUUUGUGCAUGGUUGAAUUGUGAAAUCUGCAGCUUUAUUUUUAUUACAGGAAAUGUUCAUUUUAGAUGGGAUUAGACAGGUUUGGCUUAAAAUAAGAGUUUAUAUUUGACAAGGGAAUAUUAAUAUGUCCUGCUUAGGGCCAAAAGUAUGGGCAUGCUAGGUACAUUUCUAUUUAUUUUCUCAACCAAACACAUUUUUGGGUGAUUGAAUAUUGCUUCUUUUCAGCCAGCAGCACACAGGGCAUAUUUCAGGGUUUUGCCUAUCACAUUUUUGCAGAGAAAUGGCAAAAACCUGCCCCCCGAUAGAGUUAUGUAAUUUACAUACCAAUUGCAACCUGUAAACCCAAAUUUAGGGCAGAUUUUUCAACGUGAAAUUAGUUUAGUACAGAAAAAUUCACCCAAUCUUUAUUAAUUAUUAUAGGGUUUUUCAAAGCAUAUUUAUCAAACGGUGAACUGUAACAUUUAGACAUUGAUAACUAUGCUACUAAAAAUCCCACUGGAAUGAGUAGGAAUGAGUAGAAAGUGGGUGAUUUUUCUGUGGUGAUCUCUGAUUUCACACUUUGCCAAAUCCGCCCCUAAGAGUGUUUGUAUGUUGAAGUCACCUGACAAGUCCCAUUGCUGUUACGUUCAUGUCGUUUCCAUUAACCUAUAAACACCUGAAACCCACCAUGUAUGCUAUAGCAUUUUGUGUGUACAUAUAAACAUAAUGCUUACAGAUGUGUCAGUCAUAGAUAUCUGCCUCAUAGGGGGCAAGAAGCACAGCCAGUUCCAUUCAUUUAUAUAUGCAGAGAAACAGAUGUUUUAUUGUCCUAGGGAAUUAUAUAACAGAUGAACAUUAUUAAAAGUCGGUUUAGCUACCCUUUAGGUUGCACACAGCUAAGGCACUUUAUUAAGAAUGCAAAUUGUUUAUGCAGAUAUAUAUAUAUAGUACAAAAUGGGAACUUUUUCAGAUUAAUGGAGUACAUAUGUAUGGGUAAAAUUAAUCCUGUUUAAUGCAGGUAAAUUAGAGCAAUUUGUUUGGGGGAAUUUUAGUUCCACGCCAAUAAUAUUUUUCUGUUCUAAAAUAACAAAAAAAACUAGUAAGCACACCAAAGGCAUAUAUUUUUUUAGAAUAAUGGUAAAUAUGCACUGUUUUGUACCAAUCCGAGAUGGAAUGAGUAAUUUUGCUCUUUCAGCAGAUAUUUGUAUAAUGCAAAUUUGCAUACGGAGAACUAACUCCCGUCACACAGUAACAGCAGCAGUCUUUGAAUGGAGAAAAAGUCUAAAUCUUUCCUCAAAUUGAAACGGUCCAGACAUUUUAUCCGAGCUAAGGGUAUAAAGUUUGCUGCUACUAAGGGCCAGUUCUUGAUGUAUGCCAUACACACUAAAUCAUGAAGAUCACAUGGAAGCCAUUGCAAAGUGGAAGGCAAGUGUGACCGUCCCAUGGUAUUGGCAACAAGUAAAGCUUUCCUACUUAUUGUGUGAAUGUCACAGGCCAUAUUUAAUUAUAUAAGAAUAUAUGCAAGCACAAUGCUGCUCCUAAUUAUCACCGAUAGAUCCAAUCUUAUCCCUUCAGUUAAUACUGAUACACUGGGUUCUGCUGUAAUAAUAUUUAUAUGGCAGUUUGAGCUUUUCCUUCACUUGGAGCCACAGAGCACAGUAAGGGCAGUGGCACAUGGGAUGAUUUGUCGACCGCAAUUUUUGAGUGGGUGACAAAUGUCCUGAAAAUGCCUCUCCAUUGCCAAUAAUUGAAAUAACUGGCGGCAUGCCCAACUUAUUGUUAAAUCGCCCGAACUUUCCUCCAGAGGCAACUUUGGGCAAUUUAGCGAUAAGUUGGGCAUGCCGUCAACGAUUGGCAAUGGAGAAGCAUUUUCAGGAGAUUUUUUACCCGUGCCGUGCAUAAAAAAAUGUGGGUGACAAAUCUUCAUACUAGGAUACUAAAACCAGGGCUGUCUAAACUGUGUUGUAUAGUUGUACAAUACCUAGUCAAAGGCUGCUGAAUACUAGGCUUGAGAGUUCAACAAUAGCUGAAGGGCUGCAAGUUGGACACCCCUCAACGUGAUAUGCCCUGUGUUCAGGCUGUAAUUCUUUUUUGUGCCUUUUAACACAUCCACGGACAACUGAAUGCAGGGGUCUUUACUUAUACAUAUUGAAAUAGGAAUACCCGUAUACAGCUGAUGGCGGGGGUCUUGAAACCACAGUACAUCACAGGGCAAAGCACUUGUCAGUACAUAGAACUAAAAUACUGUAGCUUCAAACUCAGACAACACACAUCCCCAAUUGUGAUACUAUAGAGAAAUAUGCUUGCUGUGAUUGAGUGGAAAAGACUUGUACCCUUUUGGAAAUCAGCUGUUUUAUUAUUCAUGCAUUCUGAUGUGUUAUUGUUGUUUUUUUUAAGUCUUGAAAGUGGGCUUAACACUUUUUGUAUGGGUUUGCUUCCGUG